UGCAGCCGAGCGGUAUUGUUUCUUCGGAAAUGAGAGAGCGGCGUACGGGUGCGGAACACGUGUGCAACCUGCCUUUAUCUGGGGGAUAGCCUUUCGAAAGGAAGAUUAAUACUCCAUAAUAUAUUGAACGGCAUCGUUUAAUAUUGAAAGCUCCGGCGGAUAGAGAUGGGCACGCGCAAGAUUAGCUAGUUGGUGAGGUAACGGCUCACCAAGGCGAUGAUCUUUAGGGGGCCUGAGAGGGUGAUCCCCCACACUGGUACUGAGACACGGACCAGACUCCUACGGGAGGCAGCAGUGAGGAAUAUUGGUCAAUGGGUGCAAGCCUGAACCAGCCAUCCCGCGUGAAGGACGACUGCCCUAUGGGUUGUAAACUUCUUUUGUAUAGGGAUAAACCUACCCUCGUGAGGGUAGCUGAAGGUACUAUACGAAUAAGCACCGGCUAACUCCGUGCC
RNAcentral lists this ribosomal RNA (452 nucleotides) under activated sludge bacterium OC8. RNAcentral describes it as "bacterial SSU rRNA". It matches the Rfam family "Bacterial small subunit ribosomal RNA", at positions 56 to 509 of the family's 1533-position model. The record is from RNAcentral.